Mytilus californianus (California mussel) is the source of this 980-nucleotide long non-coding RNA. RefSeq lists it as uncharacterized. The transcript is spliced from 2 exons. Lineage: Eukaryota; Metazoa; Mollusca; Bivalvia; Mytilida; Mytilidae. The record is from RefSeq and is a predicted model, not a curated record.
UGAUGUUUAAUGGACUAUUUUCAGUAUAUCGCCUGUGAUGAAUGGUAUACGGUGUACUAACAUGAUGUUUCUUAUAUGGACAAGUCUUAUACAAAUGGUUGUUUUCGGAAAAGAUACGUCUUAUACAGGCAAACCUGGAAUGACAAAUGACUUGUUGUCUGAAUACUAUUUACCACACAUUUAUGAAACAGACGACGAUAGGGUCGCUGACCAAGCAGACGCCACAGACGAUAUUUCGCACCAAUUAUCAGAACAGUUUAAACACUUCUUCAAGACGUACUAUCAAUCCAAUGCAGACCAAAUAGCAGAUAAAGCAGUAACUCCGAUAGGCAAGCUUUCUAACAAUGUUCAUGAUAGUAACAGUUAUGGCAUUGACCAAGAUGUCAACAUGAGGGAAAAUGGACAACAUGACAAUUCGAAAAAUGAAAUCCCUGAAGGAAUGAGCCUUAACAAUACAGAUGAAAUGAACGGUACAUUUAAUAUACCCCUCAUGUUUGGAGAUAAAAAUGAUGAAUUGGAAGAUGAAUUAUUUCAAAGGUACAGAAGGUCAGCUAACAAUAGAUACAGUGAGCGUUACAGAAGCAUUGCUGAUAUCCUUGGAAGACUACGGAGAGUCUAUGGAUUACCAACGCAAAGGAGGGGAUUUCUUGAUCCCAUAGCCUCACAUCUGAUUGGAUGAUGAAGCAGAUUGGAGCACUUAAAUUGCAUUAACGUUCUGCAGCUAAAUACAAUAUAAUGUGAUGUUGUAAUAUUCUUAUUCAGUAUUUUAAUUAAACAGUAUAUUUGAGAAAUAAAUAAUUUAGGUACAAAGAAUAUCUUUUGCAUUUAUGGAAUUAAAAAUUAAUGAAUUAUAAAUAAAACUCUACAACUACAUUGAUACGUAAUCAAUUCUGUUUGAUGGCCUUUUUUGUAAAAAUAUUUUUUCUAUGACCUUGUGUAAAAAGUAUAUACUUAUGAUAUAAAUGGUGUUUCUGCUUUGA